Molecule: small nucleolar RNA, 128 nt
Organism: Myotis lucifugus (little brown bat)
Lineage: Eukaryota; Metazoa; Chordata; Mammalia; Chiroptera; Vespertilionidae
Source: Ensembl
CUUUAAAUGCCGUUGGGCCUUUUGCUAUGACCCACUGAGCCGUCAAAAAAGGGCAAAGGAAAAACACUGCUUUUGGGUGAAGCGGCAGUGUGUUGUGUUGCUUUGCUUCAAUCAAGGUAAAAAAAAAA